GACAGAGGUGCCGAGCGUUAGGCGGAAUCACUGGGCUUAAAGCGUGUGUAGGCGGGCGGGCAAGUGCCUUGUGAAAUCCCACGGCUCAACCGUGGAACGGCUGGGUAUACUGCCUGUCUUGAGCCAACUAGGGGCGAGCGGAACAGACGGUGGAGCGGUGAAAUGCGUAGAUAUCGUCUGGAACGCCAAAGGUGAAAACAGCUCGCUGGGGUUGUGCUGACGCUGAGACACGAAAGCCAGGGGAGCGAACGGG
This 253-nucleotide ribosomal RNA is filed under the name uncultured bacterium. RNAcentral describes it as "partial 16S ribosomal RNA". It matches the Rfam family "Bacterial small subunit ribosomal RNA", at positions 524 to 776 of the family's 1533-position model. The record is from RNAcentral.